UUGCUGUCUGCAUGCAAAGUCAAGUUAUUAUUGCGGGCUUUAGCUAUGGUACACAUUGUGACACUGUUGCUGUUGACCUUGUGGCAAUCGGUUUCAGAUCAUAUAACUUGGCGGAACAUUGCUCCCAAUAGCGGCCUUCCCACAUUGCCACUUGGGGGUGCUGUUGACCGGCCAAGCAGUGGGUAGCCACUUAUGAACAGUUGGCACAAGACGUCAAUGAAAACAGCAUCAGUAGUGGCAGCAUAAAAGUUGCUCACAGCUACAGCUUCACCUUUGUGAAUGGCAGCAUGAUGCACCAUGGCGUGUGAAUACAUGAGUGCUGCAGAGUAGUGCUUCUUGAUGGCAUCGUGUAAUGGGUAAGGUCGGGGAAGUCCUAGUGAACCUCAAGUGAACAUCCCAAAGUGUCUCAAAAUCCCAUGGUCUAUCUCAACUACCAUACUGGCCAAUCAAUCGCAAGAUGUAGUGCUUUGAAAGCUGGACCAAGUGGUGAGAAACGCUCACGUAUCUGGGGUGGAAAGUUUGCAGAUGUGGAAAAAUGCCUACAGAUUUGGUUUCAGCAACAGUGUGCAGGGAGGCCAACAGUGUGGAUAAUGUCACCAUACAAUAUUCGAAAGAGCAUAAUCUCCCAACUAUAAUCGCAAAACGCAGUCUGAAACACAUUUGAAACACUGGCGAAAUAGGACUUUUUAAAACUUGUUCCAGACAAAACCUUUGCAUUUAAGGUUGAUCACUGCUUUGGGGGAAAGAGAAGCAAGCAGAGAGUGACAAUGCUCCUUACCAUAAACACAGAUGCUCUGAUAAGAAGGAUGGAUGACUGCAAACCUCAGUAAGCUUAAUGCCCGCAUGUGUCAUGAGACGAGGAAAAUAUGUUUGGUUCAUUCUCUGGUGCUACAGUUCAGCAGCAUAGAACUGGCAUUUUUUCCAGCAAACUGCAUGAGCCAUUUUCAAACUCUGGAUUGGGGCAUCAUUGCUGCCACAAAAGCAAAGUACAGGAAAAUGCUGGUUCAAUGUGUCAUCACACAUCUCGACAAUAGGAAGGGUGAUCCUCAGCUGGACGUGUUGCAGGCAAUGCAGUCCAUAAGGACUGCUUGGGAUCAAUUGAAGCCAAACAAAAUCACAGGUGCUUUCGAGAAACUGAUAUUACAAAAGAUGAAAUUCAAGCUGACCCCGAAAAUGUUGAACAUUUUGAUGUAGAGUUCAAUAUACCAGAUGACAAUGACUGGGCUUGUAUUUCAAGUGAAACUAAUUUUGAUGAUUUUGUUGUUUGUGAUGCUGAUACUGCCAUGUGUUGUGUACAAAAUGAGGAUGAAAUAAUUAAAGAAGUAUGCCAGUAUCAGCUGAAAUAAAUAGUUCUGAGGAAUCUGAAGAAUUGGAUGGAGAAUCUGUGAACCCUCCCAGUCUGUCAGAAGCAUUUACUGCAUUGGAAGUAACACAACGUUACAUAAGAUCAAAAAACAUUAGUGAUGACAAGAUGGUCACAGUGAUUGAAUAUGAAAACUUGAUUUAUGAAUGCAGUAUUGCUUCCAAAAAACAAAUGACUGUUGAUUCAUUCUUUAGGCCUAAAUAACUUUAAUUGUCCAUAACUUAGGCAUAAGCCUACUUAAACUGCUGUACCUAUUACUGUACAGUGUAAGUAUCUUCUGU
Schistocerca piceifrons (Central American locust) is the source of this 1644-nucleotide long non-coding RNA. RefSeq lists it as uncharacterized. The transcript has 3 exons. The record is from RefSeq and is a predicted model, not a curated record. NCBI's taxonomy places the organism in Eukaryota, Metazoa, Arthropoda, Insecta, Orthoptera, Acrididae.